GAGUGGCGGACGGGUGAGUAAUGUCUGGGAAACUGCCUGAUGGAGGGGGAUAACUACUGGAAACGGUAGCUAAUACCGCAUAACGUCGCAAGACAAAAGAGGGGGACCUUCGGGCCUCUUGCCAUCAGAUGUGCCCAGAUGGGAUUAGCUAGUAGGUGGGGUAACGGCUCACCUAGGCGACGAUCCCUAGCUGGUCUGAGAGGAUGACCAGCCACACUGGAACUGAGACACGGUCCAGACUCCUACGGGAGGCAGCAGUGGGGAAUAUUGCACAAUGGGCGCAAGCCUGAUGCAGCCAUGCCGCGUGUAUGAAGAAGGCCUUCGGGUUGUAAAGUACUUUCAGCGGGGAGGAAGGUGUUGUGGUUAAUAACCGCAGCAAUUGACGUUACCCGCAGAAGAAGCACCGGCUAACUCCGUGCCAGCAGCCGCGGUAAUACGGAGGGUGCAAGCGUUAAUCGGAAUUACUGGGCGUAAAGCGCACGCAGGCGGUCUGUCAAGUCGGAUGUGAAAUCCCCGGGCUCAACCUGGGAACUGCAUUCGAAACUGGCAGGCUAGAGUCUUGUAGAGGGGGGUAGAAUUCCAGGUGUAGC
RNAcentral lists this ribosomal RNA (590 nucleotides) under uncultured Gammaproteobacteria bacterium. RNAcentral describes it as "bacterial SSU rRNA". It matches the Rfam family "Bacterial small subunit ribosomal RNA", at positions 93 to 679 of the family's 1533-position model. The record is from RNAcentral. Lineage: Bacteria; Pseudomonadati; Pseudomonadota; Gammaproteobacteria.